Molecule: ribosomal RNA, 253 nt
Filed under: uncultured microorganism
Description: partial 16S ribosomal RNA
Rfam family: Bacterial small subunit ribosomal RNA
Source: RNAcentral
UACGUAGGGUGCGAGCGUUAAUCGGAUUUACUGGGCGUAAAGCGUGCGCAGGCGGCCCGUUAAGACAGGUGUGAAAUCCCUGGGCUCAACCUAGGAAUUGCGCUUGUGACUGGCGGGCUCGAGUACGGUAGAGGGGGGUAGAAUUCCAGGUGUAGCGGUGAAAUGCGUAGAGAUCAGGAGGAACACCGAUGGCGAAGGCAGCCCCCUGGGCCUGUACUGACGCUCAUGCACGAAAGCGUGGGGAGCAAACAGG